This 70-nucleotide transfer RNA is filed under the name Trimma okinawae (Okinawa rubble goby). RNAcentral's name for it is "tRNA-Met". It matches the Rfam family "tRNA". From Rfam's summary of the family: Transfer RNA (tRNA) molecules are approximately 80 nucleotides in length. Their secondary structure includes four short double-helical elements and three loops (D, anti-codon, and T loops). Further hydrogen bonds mediate the characteristic L-shaped molecular structure. tRNAs have two regions of fundamental functional importance: the anti-codon, which is responsible for specific mRNA codon recognition, and the 3' end, to which the tRNAs corresponding amino acid is attached (by aminoacyl-tRNA synthetases). tRNAs cope with the degeneracy of the genetic code in two manners: having more than one tRNA (with a specific anti-codon) for a particular amino acid; and 'wobble' base-pairing, i.e. permitting non-standard base-pairing at the 3rd anti-codon position. The record is from RNAcentral. Lineage: Eukaryota; Metazoa; Chordata; Actinopteri; Gobiiformes; Gobiidae.
AGUAGAGUAGGCUAAUAUAAGCUUCUGGGCCCAUACCCCAACAAUGUCGGUGAAACUCCUGCCUUUACUA